RNAcentral lists this ribosomal RNA (305 nucleotides) under uncultured bacterium. RNAcentral's name for it is "bacterial SSU rRNA". It matches the Rfam family "Bacterial small subunit ribosomal RNA", at positions 331 to 655 of the family's 1533-position model. The record is from RNAcentral.
GUCGACCUACGGGGGGCAGCAGUGGGGAAUAUUGCACAAUGGGGGAAACCCUGAUGCAGCGACGCCGCGUGAAGGAUGAAGUAUUUCGGUAUGUAAACUUCUAUCAGCAGGGAAGAAAAUGACGGUACCUGACUAAGAAGCCCCGGCUAACUACGUGACAGCAGCCGCGGUAAUACGUAGGGGGCAAGCGUUAUCCGGAUUUACUGGGUGUAAAGGGAGCGUAGACGGCAUGGCAAGUCUGAUGUGAAAACCAGGGGCUCAGCACCGGGACUGCAUAGGAAAAUGUCAGGCUAGAGUGUCGGAGG